RNAcentral lists this long non-coding RNA (2562 nucleotides) under Homo sapiens (human). RNAcentral's name for it is "HSALNT0191499". The record is from RNAcentral. Lineage: Eukaryota; Metazoa; Chordata; Mammalia; Primates; Hominidae.
GAUGGAGUGAUGGAGUGCAGGGGCGUGACCUCAGCUCACUGCAACCUUCACCUCCCAGGUUCAAGUGAUUCUCCUGCCUCUGCCUCCCGAAUAGCUGGGAUUACAGGUAUGCACUACUACACUGGGCUAAGUUUUGUAUUUUCAGUAGAGAUGGGGUUUCACCACUUGGCCAGGCUGGUCUCGAACUUCUGACCUCAAGCAAUCCUCCCGCCUUAGGCUCCCAAAGUGGUGGGAUUACAGGCCUGAACCACAGGGCCCAGCCUUGGCUUGUGGUUCUUUUACUAAAUAUGGAAUAGCGAUAAAGCUUAUGUAUCAUAUUUGUAAAAGAAAGCUAGGCACAUGAAGCAGAAUUAAUUCAUGAGGGAAAAUAUUUAUUUUACUCUCAAGUCUCCCGAAAGUUAUUGUAUUCAUUUAAACUCAAUUUCUAAUUUUUUUAGUUACCCAAAUACUAUUGCAUUAAAUGCAUUAAAGAGAGCAUUGUACCUAGCAGAUAUGUGAGAAACAGUUUGACUUUUUAACCACUAAAAAAUGUCCAAAUAUCAGAAUUUAUUUUAUUUUAAAUUUCAAAAAAAUCCUUAUUUUAUAUGAUAAAAAUCAAGUUGAUUUGUAAGUCAUAUAUAUCAGCUUAUUAUCAAGAACUAUUGCUAUGUAAAAGAACUUAGGACUGUGUAAUUAGAACUAUGUAAUAGAAAUAUUUACAGAAGACUAUAUCUGCCAACAUGAGAUACUCUACCACCAUAACUUAUAUCAAUGACUCUUGUUCUAUCAUCGUGUGCAUUAUAAAUAGUGCAAAAUUUCAAGAAAUUUCCAUUUUGAGAUAUAAGAAAUCAAUAUGCUGGGAAAACUAAUAUCAAACUCUGAAGUAGAUAUAUUUCAUUUUAUAUAUAUUUUAAAUGACCUUUAACUAAAGGUUAAAUUGGAUUGACACACUGAAGAUAAAUUUUUUUAUUAUUAUCAUCAUUAAAUUAUUAUUUUGUGACUAUUACUAUUCAACUAACACUACAUCUGAUAAUAUAAUGAUAAACACAUUCCUUUUUUAUAUUAACUAGCAUUUUUUUCGAGUUUCUUAAAGCUUUGUUUGCAACUCUGGAUGAUUUAUGUGGGACAUGAUAAAACCAAUCUCCACACAGGCUAAUUUGAGACCUGGCAUCAUUGUCUCUCUCUGAACAAUCUGGAAGCUUUUUUAUGGUAGUGAAUUGCUCAUUUGGGGUGCGAGGAUUGAAGCAGAGACAUAAAUUCUGGCCAGAAUUCUAUGCUUUAAUUAAAUAGUGUCAAGGGAUUGAUCGCAGCAUAUUGAUCCAUAACUGAACAUUUUAUCCAUGAAGUCACAGGUCCAGUGAGUCAUCAUUGCCUAGAAUACCCUACUUCAAACAAUGAAACUCACUUUCAAUCUAUCAUCAUCUUUCACUCUUCAGUGAAACCCCAUGUAGCUUCCAGAUGUGGUUUCAGGAUUUCUCUAUAUUGUUGGAGAGAACUGAAAGUCAUAGAGGACACCAAGCAUCACGCCUGACCAGCAAUGGAACAGCCCUACCUUAAUGUUUAUCACUUCGCUUCCACUUUCCUAAUUUCACUCAAGUUUCUAUUACUGAGAAACUCAAACUUGUACUAAAACAAAGAAGAGGAUUCCAAGGAAAAACAAGAACCUGAGACCUGCCGAACAGCAGGUGCCAAAGAUGCUGCUGUAACACCACAGCCCUCCCAUCUUCCAUCCUCCACUGGCGCUGAGUGGCAGUCCCAUGUGACAGGAAGUGGAGGCAGAGCUGGGCCAGCCCAGGAGCCACGUGCUGGAGCCAGAUACUCUGUUUUUCUACAAAUGGAAAGUUUGUGGCAUCCUUGACUCAAGCAAAUUUUUCAGCACCAUUUUUCAAGAGCGUGUGCUCACUUCACCUCUCUGUAUCGUGUUUUGAUGCUUGUCCUGGAAACCAACCAUGAGCUGUGAUGAAAUCCAGGCAACUGAGUUGUGUUUCAGCCCAAAGCAGCAAAUGGAAUCCAGCUUCAGGACCAUCAUCUGACAUAGGGGAAGAAGACUUACAUAGAAGGCCUAACCAGCACCCAAGAUCAUGCUCAUAGGUGGAGGAGACUUGCUUUGUCUCAGAUGAGACUUUGGACUGUGGACUUUUGAGUUAAUGCUGAAAUGAGUUGAGACUUUGGGGAACUGUUGGGAAGGCAUGAUUGGUUUUAAAUAUGAAUAUAUGAGAUUUGGGAGGGGGUCAGGGGUGGAAUGAUAUGGUUUGGCUCUGUGUCCCCACCCAAAUCUCAUCUUGUAGCUCCCAUAAUCCUCCCAUGUUGUGGGAGGGACCCAGUGGGAGAUGAUUGAAUCAUGAGGGCGGGUCUUUCUCAUGCUGUUCAUGAUCCCAUUCAUGUGAGAAAGACCCAUGUGAUCAUGAAUGGGUCUCACAAGAUCUGAUGGUGUUAAAAAUGGGAGUUUCUCUGCACAAGCUCUCUGCCUGCUGCCAUUCACAAAGGAUGUGACUUGCUUCUCCUUGCCUUCUGCUAUGAUUGUGAGGCCUCCCUAGCCAUGUGGAACUGUGAGUCCAAUUAAACCUCUUUCUUUUGUAAAUU